ACCUACAGCCAAACUUCUCUGGUUAAGCCUGUUAUUGUCCAAGCACGAAAGCAAAGUGGUGUAAGGCCUGGGCAGUACUUGGAUGGGAGACCGCCUUGGAAUUCCAGGUGCUGUAGGAU
This is a ribosomal RNA of Poecilia formosa (Amazon molly), 119 nucleotides long. The record is from Ensembl. NCBI's taxonomy places the organism in Eukaryota, Metazoa, Chordata, Actinopteri, Cyprinodontiformes, Poeciliidae.